Molecule: ribosomal RNA, 513 nt
Filed under: Segestria sp. HMW-2014
Lineage: Eukaryota; Metazoa; Arthropoda; Arachnida; Araneae; Segestriidae
Description: eukaryotic LSU rRNA
Rfam family: Eukaryotic large subunit ribosomal RNA
Source: RNAcentral
GACCAAGGAGUCUAACAUGUGCGCGAGUCACGGGGUCUUGCUUAGGCCCAGAGGCGCAAUGAAAGUGAAGGUCGACCUCGACGUCGGCUGUGUUGGGACUCCUCGCCCUCGCGGUGGGGAAGCACCAACGACCCGUCCUCUCCGAUUUAUCGGUUGGGCGGAGUCUGAGCGUACACGUUGGGACCCGAAAGAUGGUGAACUAUGCCUGGGCAGGACGAAGCCAGAGGAAACUCUGGUGGAGGUCCGUAGCGGUUCUGACGUGCAAAUCGAUCGUCAGACCCGGGUAUAGGGGCGAAAGACUAAUCGAACCAUCUAGUAGCUGGUUCCCUCCGAAGUUUCCCUCAGGAUAGCUGGCGCUCGGAGGAAUCAGUCUCAUCCGGUAAAGCGAAUGAUUAGAGGCCUUGGGGCCGAAACGACCUCAACCUAUUCUCAAACUUUAAAUGGGUGAGAAGUCCGGCUUGCAUGACCGAAGCCCGGACAUUUCGGAUGUGAGCGCCCAGUGGGCCACUUUUG